RNAcentral lists this ribosomal RNA (2893 nucleotides) under human oral metagenome. Its description in RNAcentral is "bacterial LSU rRNA". It matches the Rfam family "Bacterial large subunit ribosomal RNA". The record is from RNAcentral.
AGAAGUACCGCAGGGCGCAUGGGGGAUGCCUUGGCUCCCGGAGGCGAAGAAGGACGCGGCAGGCUGCGAAAAGCUGCGGGUAGGCGCGAACGGCCGUUGAUCCGCAGGUGUCCGAAUGGGGCAACCCGCCGCGCGACGAGCGCGGCAUCCUCGGCGACGAGGAGGCGAACCCGCCGAACUGAAACAUCUAAGUAGGCGGAGGAAAGGAAAACAACAGUGACUCCCCGAGUAGCGGCGAGCGAAAGGGGACCAGCCCAAACCGUGUGCGUUGCGGCGCGCACGGGGUUGUAGGGCGGUCGCACGGGACUCGUUACGCGUAGCCGGAGCCGCCUGGAAAGGCGCGCCGCAGCGGGUGAAAGCCCCAUAGGCGAAACGCGUGCCGUACCCAGACCGGACCCUGAGUAGGGCGGGGCCGGAGGAACCCUGUCCGAAGCUGGCGGCACCAUCCGCCAAGGCUAAGCACUUCCGGGAGACCGAUAGCGCACUAGUACCGUGAGGGAAAGGUGAAAAGCACCGCGGACAGCGGAGUGAAAGAGACCCUGAAACCAUGCGCCUUCAAGCUGUCGGAGCCCGCGAGGGUGACGGCGUGCCUUUUGCAUAAUGAGCCUACGAGUCGCUCUUCGGCGGCGAGGGUGCGCGCCUUGAGGCGCCGACCCGGAGCGAAAGCGGGUCCGAAGAGGGCUUGAGUCGCCGGAGGCGGACGCGAAACUUUGUGAUCUACCCUUGGGCAGGCUGAAGGCGCCGUGACAGGCGCUGGAGGGCCGAACCGGUUGCCGUUGAAAAGGCUUCGGAUGACCUGAGGGUAGGGGUGAAAGGCCAAUCAAACUGAGAGAUAGCUCGUACUCCCCGAAAUGCCUUUAGGGGCGGCCUCGGGCGGUCCGACGCGGAGGUAGAGAUACUGUUUGGGCGAGGGGGCUUCGCCGCCUGCCGACCCCAGCCAAACUCCGAAUGCCGCGUCGCGCAGUCCGGGAGUGAGGGCGCGGGUGCUAACGUCCGCGCCCGAGAGGGAAAGAACCCGGACCACCGGCUAAGGCCCCCAAGUAGGCGCUAAGUUGAACUAACGAGGUCCGACUGCAGAGACAGCUGGGAUGUUGGCUUGGAAGCAGCCAUUCAUUCAAAGAGUGCGUAACAGCUCACCAGUCGAGCGGUCGGGUAUGGAUAAUGACCGGGCAUGAAGCGCUUCGCCGAAGCCGUGGGGCGGCCUUCUGGCCGCCGGUAGGGGAGCAUUCCGCGUGCGCGGAAGGGGAGCCGCGAGGCGUCCUGGAGCGCGCGGAAAGGCAAAUGUAGGCAUGAGUAACGACAAUGCGGAUGGGAAAUCCGCACACCGGAAGACCAAGGUUUCCUGAUCAACGCUAAUCGGAUCAGGGUCAGUCGGGUCCUAAGGGCGUUCCGCUGUCGAGGCGGAUGAGUCCGAUGGUCGACGGGUCAACAUUCCCGUACCGGUGCCCGUUGCGAAGCGGGGACGGAGAACCGUAGUCGCCGCCUGCUGACGGAAUAGCAGGUUGAAGCGCGAAGUCCAAGUCGCGGGAGGGAAGUCCCCUGCGUCGGGCGAUGCGCGACAGUACCGCGAGGCUUCGGCCGGGCGGACAGAGCGAGUAAGGCUGCUCCCGAGAAAAGCCGCUAAGCUUCAGGCGGGCGCCGCCCGUACCGGAAACCGACACAGGUGGUCGAGGAGAGAAUCCAAAGGUGCUCGAGUGAAUCACAGCCAAGGAACUAGGCAAACCGCCCCUGUAACUUCGGGAGAAAGGGUCCUCGCGUGAGCGAGGCGCAGAGAAACGGCCCAGGCGACUGUUUAGCAAAAACACAAGGCUAUGCGAACCCGCAAGGGGAGGUAUAUGGCCUGACACCUGCCCGGUGCCGGAAGGUUAAGAGGAGAGGUCAUCUUCGGAGAAGCCUUGAAUCGAAGCCCCGGUAAACGGCGGCCGUAACUAUAACGGUCCUAAGGUAGCGAAAUUCCUUGUCGGGCAAGUUCCGACCUGCACGAAUGGUGUAACGAUCUGGGCGCUGUCUCGGCUGUGAGCUCGGUGAAAUUGUAGCAGCGGUGAAGAUGCCGCUUACCCGCAACGGGACGAAAAGACCCCGUGAACCUUCACUACAGCUUAGCGCUGGUGACGGGCGGACGAUGCGUAGGAUAGGUGGGAGGCUUUGAAGCCGCGACUCCGGUCGCGUCGGAGCCGCCGUUGAAAUACCACCCUUCGUCCGUCUGUCCCCUAACGGGAGGUGAAUCCCGGACACCGCUUGGCGGGUAGUUUGACUGGGGUGGUCGCCUCCAAAAGCGUAACGGAGGCUUCCAAAGGUGCCCUCAGCACGGUUGGCAACCGUGCGUCGAGUGCAAUGGCAGAAGGGCGCUUGACUGCGAGACAGACAAGUCGGACAGGGACGAAAGUCGGGCAUAGUGAUCCGGCGGUACCGCAUGGAAGGGCCGUCGCUCAAAGGAUAAAAGGUACUCCGGGGAUAACAGGCUGAUCCCCCCCAAGAGCUCAUAUCGACGGGGUGGUUUGGCACCUCGAUGUCGGCUCGUCACAUCCUGGGGCUGGAGAAGGUCCCAAGGGUUCGGCUGUUCGCCGAUUAAAGUGGCACGCGAGCUGGGUUCAGAACGUCGCGAGACAGUUCGGUCUCUAUCUGUUGCGGGCGCUGGAGGCUUGAGGGGCGCUGGCCUUAGUACGAGAGGACCGGGCCGGACGGACCAACGGUGCGCCGGUUGCGUCGCCAGACGCACCGCCGGGUAGCCGCGUCCGGACGAGAUAAGCGCUGAAAGCAUCUAAGCGCGAAACUCGCCCCGAGAUGAGGCCUCCUCGGAGGGCCGUGGGAGACUACCACGUUGAUAGGCCGCAGGUGUGCGCGCAGCGAUGCGCUGAGCCGAGCGGCACUAAUUGCCCGAGAGCUUCCGCCG